UCCAUUUUUUUUUCAUGUGAUGAGGCAAUAACAGGCAGCAGUUCAGAGGUGAAACUAUAUAAAAAAAAGUCUCUAGCAAAAAGAGACUAUAAGAGUGUCCAGAGAAGUGUGCUGUUAAGCUCAAUGUUUAUUUUGGGUGAUGGCAGCUCUUGUAACAUGCUUGGUCUAUGUCUAUGAGAUCAUGCCAAAGGUAAAUACGCCUUAGGACGACUCACAAAGGUCCUUUUCUCUAGGUCCAUAGGCACUUUUCAGAGUGACCAUUUAACGUAUACCUAGUUAAGAGACACCUCUGAUCUCAACGACUAUUACAUCCUGGGCUUGACUUCCAGCUCAGUGUGCUAGGAGAGGAGAACUCCACUCCAACAGAAGUGUCAAAAGGACUAGGCUACUAAACAAAGGGCGAAGGGGGUGCGGAGGGGCGACACCCGCGGGCCAGCGGUAACCCAGGCACCCGCAGAGGAAGAAGACCAAGAUGCUAGCGAGGACACCUGCGCAUGCAGGGCAGUGCCUGAGGCCUCUUCUCCAGGUGUCCCCCAAGGCCCUCAGCUCCGGCCUUCCCGGUUAAGAAGCCGUUUGCCGCUCAUCGCCGCCAGCCGCCCAACCGAGCGAAGCCCGUCAGCAUCCCUGACUCGGUCCCUCAGGCAGGGCGGACCUUGUCCGCCGCCCGCCCGCCCGCCCGCCCCGCCCCGCCCCAUCCCCGCGCCAGCCUCCCCUCUCGCCAGCCUAGAGAGUACUCACGGCGACCCCGGGCCGCGCGCGGCCGC
Molecule: long non-coding RNA, 764 nt
Filed under: Rattus norvegicus (Norway rat)
Lineage: Eukaryota; Metazoa; Chordata; Mammalia; Rodentia; Muridae
Description: long non-coding RNA NONRATT028650
Source: RNAcentral